This is a long non-coding RNA of Gouania willdenowi (blunt-snouted clingfish), 1798 nucleotides long. The record is from Ensembl. NCBI's taxonomy places the organism in Eukaryota, Metazoa, Chordata, Actinopteri, Blenniiformes, Gobiesocidae.
CCCCUCCAUCCCCCUUCUUUUAAUUACACCCCAUACAUUCACCAAACACACACAUUCACACAGGGGAUCGGGAAGUGCCUCACCAUUGGGGAAUGGAGAGGCACCAUAACAGGGUGGUGGGUUGGUACACAUAUUUGGGCCUCUCCGGUGGGGGCCUGGCCCCUCUGUAGGUGGCUGGGCCACUGCAUAGAGUAAAAGUACAUCAGGAUGGUGCGGUCGGGCGUGGCGGUGGGUCUCGGGGGGGCUUUGCCGGGGUCUCUCCUUGCGGGGUCUUUCCGGGCGGUGUCGGCCUGGUGGGGCGCGGGGGUGCCUCUCCCCCUUGGGUGUGGCUUGGUGCUUGUUUCGUCUCCUGGUGGCCUUGGGGGCGGGCCCCGCGGUGUGCGGGCCCGGGGCGGCCUGCCUCGCCGGUUUGGGGGGUGGGUGUGCUGGUGUCCUCACCGGGGUUGGGGCAGGGUUGUUUGGCGCCUUGGGAUGAUGCUGUUUACUGGGGGGGCGGCGCUAGCUGUUCCGGUGGUUGAGGUUGCUUUCGGCCGCCUGGUGGGUAUGUCCUGCCAUCUGCGGACUGGUGGGUGGGUCCGGGGCAUCUUUGGCUGGGGGCUGCUGUCCCGCGCUGGAUGUGUGCCGUUGGGGUGCCUCCGUCCCCGCGGUGGGGGUCGCCGGUUGCUCGCGGGCCGGCGGGGAGCGCUGCCCCGUGGUUUGCGCCGUCCGGGGGGCGGCGGGCCCUGGGCUGCUGGCCUUGUACCGUCUGGGGCUGUGCGGUCCUGCUGGGCUGUGGCCGGGUCCUGGGCCGGGGUGGGGGGCUUGCCCUUGGGGGGUCCUGGUCCCGGGGGGUGCUCCUGGGGCCCGGGGUGCUUGGCUGGCUGGCCGGGCCGGUCCUGGCGGGGGUCUUCCGGGGCGGGUGGCGCGUGCCGCGCCCUUGCAUACCUUCUGGUGCGGCCCCUGCUUGGGCAAUCCCCCGUGAGGCAGGGUGUCGGGGCCAGAAUAGGGGGCCACAUCCCGGCGGGGCGGUCUGGCUUGGCCUCUGGAGGGGGCCCUGGCUUUAAAGAACUGAAGCUCGUGGCGCAGGCGGCAUCAGCAAAGGGCGAUCUGGGGCGCCGGGGGGGGCUAGGUUGGGGUGCCUGGGGGCCGGCGGUGGGACUCCCGGCUGCUUGGCCGUGGGGUGGUCGCCGGGGGCCCCUAGAUUUCCCGCUCUUUCUGCUGGCCCGACUGCUUCUUCGGGCCCGGGGGCGGCUCGUGGGUUUUGCAGUGGCGGUUCUUGGAAAUACAUUUGUCAUGGACGCACUGGCCUUGGGCUGUGGGAUAACACUCAUACUGGGCUCAACCAUAGACACGUUGUUCCCAAAUACCUGUUUUAUGGAAUUUCCACUCACUUCCUCCUCUGCUCACAGCCACCACCAUUAUUCCUAAGCCGCACACUGGUCACCAGACUGGCUUGAUAACACAACAAUAAGCACAAUAUACACAACCACAAUUUCACAUCGCAUCACUUGAAACUUAUUGACUGUUCCCCACCCAUUCGUUUUCCUAUCUUGUAUCCCUCCUCCCUGUUAACUCCCCCCCCACCCCCCUCACCCUGGUGUAACACUGCCCUCUCUUUUUUACAUCCUCCCUUUAAUAAAGUAUUUACCCUUCCCUAGGGAGGGCUGGUGAUGGUCACAAUUAUGCAAUGAAAUAAAUUCAUUUAUUUAAUUGCAAUAAUAAAAUAUGCAUUGCUGUUAAAAGAUUGCACUUCUUGUAGUGUUAACCUUCAACAGCAUGUGCAGACAAGGUGAAAAAAAAAAAAAAAAAAAAAAAAAAA